Molecule: long non-coding RNA, 785 nt
Filed under: Daucus carota (carrot)
Lineage: Eukaryota; Viridiplantae; Streptophyta; Magnoliopsida; Apiales; Apiaceae
Description: long non-coding RNA (DCAR_LNC006304)
Source: RNAcentral
GUUAGUAUCACGAGCAUUUGCAUGAAUUAUGAAGUUAAGCCAACUUAAUUGCCUAUGAUGAGUUAUGUGCGUAGUUCUUGAUUAGUAAUUUCAAUUGCAAUGCUAGGUUAGUACUUGGAAAUUGCUUGUGUUGGAAAUUGUAAUUCGCAUAUGUUCUUGAGAUAGGAUUUAGACGAAAUUCCAUGAAUUCUAGGAUUGAAUUGAGCACCCUUCAGCUUAGGUCUGUAAAUCUUAAGUUUGGGGGAACUGAGGGGUAGAUAUGCCUUUCUAAAAAAAAAAAAAAAAAAAAAAAAAAAAAAAGAAAAAAAAAAAAAAAAAAAUAGUAGUAAAUAAAUUCACUAAAAAAAUAAGUGGUAGAAUUAACUAGGUUGAGCUCAUUAGUACUCGAGUAAUUAAGUCUGAGGGGACUUUGUGCCUAACAACCUAAAGCCCUUCGUGGUUUGGGAUUGUUGACCCAACGCUCGCUACAUGGGUACUAGUGCAUAAAUCUUUAGGGAUCUCAACCAUUGCACGGUUAAAUAAACCACUAGAAUAGAGUGAAUAAUUGGUGUGUGAAGUCUUGUGGUGUUCGUAACGCAUUUACACUGCGAAGCGCUCUGACCUUAGACCGAGCAAUUAAUCACCAAUAUAAAAAGAAAAAAAAAAUAUAUAGUGAAUAAAAUAGAAGGGUGUGGACAUUCUUUGGGACCUUGGCUUUUAGUUGGACUUGAGUGACGGGGUGUUAGUUUUAAACUUUUACGAUUCUUGAUUGGGAUUCUGUGGGAGUAGUAGUUUUUGUCUUGUCU